AGGAAGUGUUUUGGCCAAUGGUUACAUUCAUGGUGUUUUACACACAAAAAAUGGAUAUAGGCUCAAAGGGGGUUAACGAGGGAUAUAAUAAUUCAGGAUGGCUAGAAAGGUCGGGGUUAAUUACAAACAACGUGCCUUAGUGUGUGUAUCAUGCAGUGACAGUCCCAGAGAGUCUACGCAAAUUUAGAGUGAUAAAGACAAACCUGAAUGACGCUCAUGAUGAUUAAUGUGUUU
Molecule: long non-coding RNA, 234 nt
Filed under: Lathyrus oleraceus (garden pea)
Lineage: Eukaryota; Viridiplantae; Streptophyta; Magnoliopsida; Fabales; Fabaceae
Description: Pisum sativum (pea) long non-coding RNA (PSAT_LNC024198)
Source: RNAcentral